RNAcentral lists this ribosomal RNA (492 nucleotides) under uncultured bacterium. RNAcentral describes it as "partial 16S ribosomal RNA". It matches the Rfam family "Bacterial small subunit ribosomal RNA", at positions 29 to 507 of the family's 1533-position model. The record is from RNAcentral.
AGUGAACGCUGGCGGUAUGCCUAACACAUGCAAGUCGAACGGCAGCACAGUAAGAGCUUGCUCUUACGGUUGGCGAGUGGCGGACGGGUGAGGAAUACAUCGGAAUCUACUUUUUCGUGGGGGAUAACGUAGGGAAACUUACGCUAAUACCGCAUACGACCUACGGGUGAAAGCAGGGGAUCUUCGGACCUUGCGCGAUUGAAUGAGCCGAUGUCGGAUUAGCUAGUUGGCGGGGUAAAGGCCCACCAAGGCGACGAUCCGUAGCUGGUCUGAGAGGAUGAUCAGCCACACUGGAACUGAGACACGGUCCAGACUCCUACGGGAGGCAGCAGUGGGGAAUAUUGGACAAUGGGCGCAAGCCUGAUCCAGCCAUACCGCGUGGGUGAAGAAGGCCUUCGGGUUGUAAAGCCCUUUUGUUGGGAAAGAAAAGCAGCAGGUUAAUACCCCGCUGUUCUGACGGUACCCAAAGAAUAAGCACCGGCUAACUUCGUG